UGUUUCAUUGUUCUGUUUCCUUCUUGUUUUGACUGUUAUUUUUUCUAUUUCUGGAAGCUCCCCAUGUCGCCAAAAUCCCGAGAUGUUUGUAUUGUUGGUGUUGCAAGGACUCCAAUGGGGGAUCUACUUGGCAACCUAUCAUCUCUAUCAGCAACACAACUAGGCUCAAUUGUUAUCAACUAGGCUCAAUUGUUGCAGCUACCAUGCUUGCAGUACAUUGUAGAAGCAAGGUUGAAGUUUCUGGUGGAAGAGGGAAACCCUCUAGAAUAGUUGAUAAAGAUGAAGGAUUGGGGAAGCUUUACAGGAGUUUGCUGAGAGGAAGGACAAUGGGAAGAUGGCUGAAGGAUUAAGAGGAGAGGAAAAAGCAGGAAAUUAGGACUCAUAAUGCUCAGUUGCAUGCUGCAGUAUCCGUGGUAGGCAUAGCUGCUGCCGUUGCGGCCAUUGCAGCUUCAAUAGAGUGUACAUUGUAGAAUCAAUAGAGUGUACAUAGCUGCCAUAAGAAAGUGUACAUAAC
This is a long non-coding RNA of Arachis ipaensis, 514 nucleotides long. RefSeq lists it as uncharacterized. NCBI's taxonomy places the organism in Eukaryota, Viridiplantae, Streptophyta, Magnoliopsida, Fabales, Fabaceae. The record is from RefSeq and is a predicted model, not a curated record.